ACCAAGCUUAUCCUGGCCGCUCCUCUGCUCCCUGCCUGCCAUUCCUUCCCAAGGGCAGGAGAGAAAUGGGGGUAUAACUGCUCUCCCCUACUGGGUUCAAAGCCCCUUAUAUGUAAUUGAAUAUUCGAAUUGACUUCACCUGCCCGCAUCCCCCCCCCCAAUCUAUUAACUCUGAUGUGUGCUUUAUACAAAUAAUAAGCUUAAAACCUUUAACUGGUCUCUAAUUUUUUUUUCUCGUGUUCGCCGUGGCAGAUGACCUCUUCGCCUCAAAUUAUUGAUCUGUGAGCAUGCUUCCGGUAUGAUGUGCAAACACGAGACAUCUCGGCUGAAAAGAUACACUGGAGGAUUAAAACUAAGGACCUGAGCCCUAACCGCCUUCUUUCUCCUCCAAAUCUCUGUCUUUUGCUUUGGCGUUUCCUGACCAUGGGGAAGAAGCUGCACCUUUUCCUUGGGCAACCAGAGGGGAAAAAGGAAUUAGCCUUCUAGUGCGUGAUUGUCCUAAAGGUGUGGAGCCCUUUCUCCAAAUUGAAUGGGGUGAAGAAAUGAAACAGGCUUGCCCUCACAUAAUCAGGGUCUCAACUUUUUCCACAAAUUGUCCACCCUUGAAGGUCCCAAGUAUACUGGCAAAUAACCCAAUAUUCAAGAAAUAAGUAAAAGGGUGGUGGGGAUGUUAUAUUUACAAAAUAAAUGUGCAGAGUAG
This is a long non-coding RNA of Pipistrellus kuhlii (Kuhl's pipistrelle), 700 nucleotides long. RefSeq lists it as uncharacterized. NCBI's taxonomy places the organism in Eukaryota, Metazoa, Chordata, Mammalia, Chiroptera, Vespertilionidae. The record is from RefSeq and is a predicted model, not a curated record. The transcript has 2 exons.